Molecule: long non-coding RNA, 741 nt
Organism: Anolis carolinensis (green anole)
Lineage: Eukaryota; Metazoa; Chordata; Lepidosauria; Squamata; Anolidae
Exons: 2
Source: RefSeq, a predicted model, not a curated record
CCCAUUGGCUGCCCCAGAGACUGCCUUCGUCUAAGGGGAGCCUUUUCUGAGCCGGGGGCGGAGCUGGGAGGAAGACAGACACCCAUUUAAAGCAGGUCGAGGGCCAACUUGGCUCCUCCAGAUGUUUUGGACUCCAACUCCCACCACUCCUCACAGCCUCAGGCUCUUUCUUUUGAGUCCACAGCGCUCUCUGCAUGGAGGUCGGUGGUUCGGAUCCGGGGAGCAGGGUGAACUCCCACUGUUAGCCCCAGCUUCUGCCAACCUAGCAGUUCGAAAACAUGCAAAGGUGAGUAGAUGAAUAGGUACUGCGGGAAGGUAACGGCGCUCCAUGCAGUCAUGCCAGUGGCCACAUGACCUUGGAGGUGUCUACGGACAACGCCGGCUCUUCAUCUUAGAAAUGGAGAUGAGCACCAAUCCGCAGAGUCGGACACGACUGGACUUAACGUCAGGCGAAAACCUUUAGAAAGUGAAAAUCAUUAGGAGACACAGCACAUAAAUAUACUCCUUGGAGAGAAGGCCUUUGAGAGCAUGUAUUAGUCAAAACGUAUUGGGAGUUUUAUGGAAUGGUAGGAUUUUUUUUUUUUUGGUCAAUGUUUAAAUAUUAUAAUUGGUGCUUGUCUUUGUUUAUUGAUGUAUUUUAUAUUGUUACUAUUUUGUAUUUGAUAUUUCUGUGACCCACCCCGGGUCCCCUUCAGGGGAGAUGGAGGCGGGAUACAAAUAAAAUUAUUAUUAUUAUUAUUA